GUGAAGAACGCAGCGAAAUGCGAUAAGUAAUGUGAAUUGCAGAAUUCAGUGAAUCAUCGAAUCUUUGAACGCACAUUGCGCCCGCCAGCAUUCUGGCGGGCAUGCCUGUUCGAGCGUCAUUUCAACCCUCGAGCCCCCCCGGGGGCCUCGGUGUUGGGGGACGGCACACCAGCCGCCCCCGAAAUGCAGUGGCGACCCCGCCGCAGCCUCCCCUGCGUAGUAGCACACACCUCGCACCGGAGCGCGGAGGCGGUCACGCCGUAAAACGCCCAACUUUCUUAGAGUUGACCUCGGAUCAGGUAGGAAUACCCGCUGAACUUAAGCAUAUCAAUAAGCGGAGGA
Molecule: unclassified non-coding RNA, 342 nt
Filed under: soil metagenome
Description: partial contains 5.8S ribosomal RNA, internal transcribed spacer 2, and large subunit ribosomal RNA
Rfam family: 5.8S ribosomal RNA (bases 2-119)
Source: RNAcentral